Molecule: long non-coding RNA, 693 nt
Filed under: Marmota monax (woodchuck)
Lineage: Eukaryota; Metazoa; Chordata; Mammalia; Rodentia; Sciuridae
Source: RNAcentral
GAUAAAACAAGUCACUUUCCAUAACGCUGAUGAAACUCAGAGUAAAGUCUCUGUCAUUUGCCUUCACCCUGAUAAAGACAAAAGAUGAGAGAUCAGGACGAAACCACCAGACCAGAUGGCUUGACCUCAGAACAAAAGACGUCACUGAGAAACCUGGGAACAGCUGAUUGGGAUUGAAAUAGUGGUCAGAAACCCCAAAAUUUAGCAUAAGCGAUGGGGCAAAUGAACAGAUAUUCAGCCAGCCGACACUGAUGCCCUCAUGCCGAAGAGCCUGAUGAGGACCUGGACUGACAUCCCAACUCCUCUCGUCAUUUUCCUGAUCCUCUGCAUCGUCCUCACCACUCUCAAACUCUACAGCCACAUCUUGACCCUGGUGAGAUCGGCGACUUCCCCGUAUGACCCUCUCCUCAGCUGGCCGUCAGCUCCACAGCAGGAGAAGCCUCCAUUGGUGCCUGACCUGAUCACCACGGUCUGAGUGAGUGGGCAUCUGCUGGACUUAAGGCUUGAGGCUCGAGACUUUAGAUCUGGCACAUGGGCUUAGCAUGCAGAGGGAAUGUCUGUCAUGAGCCUUCAUGAUAAGGUGUGUUUGCAGUGCUUAGAAUUAAGCUAGAAUUGUUUGCUGUCAUUAUGUCUCUUGCAGUGCCCAGCAUUAAGGAUUGUCGUUUUCUUGAUUAAGAUCCUCUAGAGUGGAGU